Molecule: long non-coding RNA, 201 nt
Filed under: Gossypium barbadense (sea-island cotton)
Lineage: Eukaryota; Viridiplantae; Streptophyta; Magnoliopsida; Malvales; Malvaceae
Description: long non-coding RNA (GBAR_LNC001529)
Source: RNAcentral
UUCACCAUAAAUUUUACAAAGAUAAUUAGAAGUCAUGGUUUAUAUUUACGGAUUCCUUAUUGAGUCUAGUUUUAUUAGAGACAAACGGCAUAGUCAUUGAAGCUCUGUAGAGGGAGAUAUAUGAUUCGUAAUACACAGAGGUCAGAGUAGUCGAACCCUGAAAUAGGGGAGACUUUAACUAAUAAACUGUACUAAUUGCCU